AACAGAGGGUGCAAACGUUGUUCGGAAUUACUGGGCGUAAAGCGCGUGUAGGCGGCCCUGCAAGUCGGGUGUGAAAUCCCAUGGCUCAACCAUGGAAGUGCACUCGAAACUGCAGGGCUAGAGUCCUGGAGAGGAAGGUGGAAUGCUUGGUGUAGAGGUGAAAUUCGUAGAUAUCAAGAGGAACACCGGUGGCGAAGGCGGGUCUCUGGGCCGAUACUGACGCUGAGGAGCGAAAGCGUGGGGAGCGAACAGG
This 253-nucleotide ribosomal RNA is filed under the name uncultured bacterium. RNAcentral's name for it is "partial 16S ribosomal RNA". It matches the Rfam family "Bacterial small subunit ribosomal RNA", at positions 524 to 776 of the family's 1533-position model. The record is from RNAcentral.